CACGUAGGCGGGUACUUAAGUCAGGUGUGAAAGACCGCAGCCCAACUGCGGGGUUGCACUUGAAACUGGAUAUCUUGAGGGCAGGAGAGGUCAGUGGAAUUCCUGGUGUAGCGGUGAAAUGCGUAGAUAUCAGGAGGAACACCAGUGGCGAAGGCGGCUGACUGGACUGACCCUGACGCUGAGGUGCGAAAGCGUGGGGAGCAAACAG
Molecule: ribosomal RNA, 208 nt
Filed under: uncultured Syntrophomonadaceae bacterium
Lineage: Bacteria; Bacillati; Bacillota; Clostridia; Eubacteriales; Syntrophomonadaceae
Description: partial 16S ribosomal RNA
Rfam family: Bacterial small subunit ribosomal RNA
Source: RNAcentral